CCGCUUUUGAAAUCCACAUGUCCUUUUAAUGCCAGAUACACUGAAUUUCCCCCCAAGGUAUUGUUUACAAAGGUAGCCGCGUUUGACCUCUUGCCGGCAGGAAGGGGAGUUUUGGGGGUAGAGAAAAAGCGCUAUCCCAAAUAUUAAUUCUCAGAACUUUCGCCAACUUGCGGCCUGAAAUAGCCGCGUGUGCCAAAUGCGAACUUACAAGCCUUCGCUCGCUGUAAAUCGCCUCUUUGCCAAAUCGAAUCGACAGACGUGCACAGACACACAAACAUACACAGGGCAUUUGUUUGAAGGCGGGCGCCCCAGCUCUUCACGAAAGCCCGACAGCGACUAGUCCCCAAGAGCGGUGCGAAGCUCAACAUUGCUUUCUAACCGCGGGGCACACGGACUCAACAUGGCACGCUCUCUUAACAGAGGCAGACGAGAGAGAUGGAGGGAGAGAAAAAGACGAGAGUAAAGAGGUUCUUCACUGGGACACUUGCUCAGAAGUCAGCCCAUCGACGGCUCUGCGCUAUUCGCACUCGGCACUCCCACCGGGAUUCCGGGGUUUAAAAGCCCCUCUGGGAUCCAGAAGCUUGCAGAGCCGAAGGCUCAACCUCGUGUGGCUGCACUCCCAGCGCCCAUAACAAUUGGGAGUCGGGAAUCCAACAUGUUUCCCACAUCCCUAACCCGAGAAGAGGUCUUCCCCGUUCUCAGAAAGAGGACGCCUCUUCUACGAACAACCAACCUCUUGCACGCAGCUGGGGAUGGCGAUUCGCCGAGCCUCCCUCUUAAGUUCCCGGGUUUCCCGGCUCCCGCCGUUCCUGACCGCUUUUGCAACAGCUGGAGGCGGCUGCCAGUUCCACCCUGGUCUGGAUUUAAGAGGCUUUUCCCCGCCGCUCUCAGGAAAGAAUGCCUCCUCCAGACAAGUGAUCUUGCAAGCGAUUAAUCCUUUUUGUUUUUAAGCGAGGAUGCGUGGCUAGACUGCAUCCACCACCCCCGAGCAGCGAUUUGGGUAGGCAGGCAUCACUGUUUCUGGGCAAAAGCAUUCCAGACACACAAGGGGGGGGGGUGAAAUUUAAGAGCAGGGGGUAAUCGUGCCUCCGUGUUUGUUGCUUUUUUAAAUCACGGGCACUAGUCUCUUCCCGAACACUCACAAGUGCUGGUUUUCCCCCAGAGCAAAAGAGACAGGGGGGAAAAGCGGGGGUGGGGGGGGGGUGGGGACAAGAGCAGGCAUUUUGGCUGCAUCUGGCAAGUCCCCCCCCCCCCAGGACGAAAACAACCUCAUUCCUGUCUUUUUGAAAAACAGGCCCCAAAAUAUACAUGUUAUAUUUACUCUCCGGGCUCCAAGGAAGGAAUAGAAUUGGUCCAGAGGUUCCCCUGGACCCAAAUAACAUCCGAUAACAUUCACACUCAGAUAUUUAAUAAAGGAUCUUUUGAGGUCCCCCCCCCCAAACCUCUGAAUAUCUUUUUUUUGGGACACAUCGCCCCACUCCCUCCCUGUUCCCCCCACCCCGAGAUGACGGCCCGAGGUCCCACGCAGGCCAGUUUAGUGGUUCUCCACCCCAAAGCACAGUCUCUUGUUCCGU
Molecule: non-coding RNA, 1574 nt
Organism: Podarcis lilfordi (Lilford's wall lizard)
Lineage: Eukaryota; Metazoa; Chordata; Lepidosauria; Squamata; Lacertidae
Source: the annotation of a GenBank genome assembly